Molecule: non-coding RNA, 224 nt
Organism: Pelobates cultripes (western spadefoot toad)
Lineage: Eukaryota; Metazoa; Chordata; Amphibia; Anura; Pelobatidae
Source: the annotation of a GenBank genome assembly
GAAAUUAGUUCCAUGCACUUGAUGACCAAGCACCGCUACCUGUGUGCAGGAGACAAAAUGGCUGCCAUUUCAUAAAGCACAUGCGUUCGGUCCUUCAAAUGGCGGCCACUCAGAGAGAGCACUUGAGAUAAUUGGUUUCUUUGAAGUUAAUGAGCCAGAGGGUGGUUGGAUUUCAGUGGGCAUAAAAGGGGGAAUGAGUUUUUGUUCGGAAAACGAAUGAGGGG